Molecule: small nucleolar RNA, 80 nt
Organism: Myodes glareolus (Bank vole)
Lineage: Eukaryota; Metazoa; Chordata; Mammalia; Rodentia; Cricetidae
Product: small nucleolar RNA U2-19
Source: RefSeq, a predicted model, not a curated record
GAUCAGUGAUGAAAAUAGCCAAAUCUGAGCAUCAGAAGACCUUUUGGUCUGCUUGGUGCGUGAUCUUUACAGUUCUGAGA